UUAAGCGACUAAGCGUACACGGUGGAUGCCCUGGCAGUCAGAGGCGAUGAAGGACGUGCUAAUCUGCGAUAAGCGUCGGUAAGGUGAUAUGAACCGUUAUAACCGGCGAUUUCCGAAUGGGGAAACCCAGUGUGUUCCGACACACUAUCAUUAACUGAAUCCAUAGGUUAAUGAGGCGAACCGGGGGAACUGAAACAUCUAAGUACCCCGAGGAAAAGAAAUCAACCGAGAUUCCCCCAGUAGCGGCGAGCGAACAGGGAGCAGCCCAGAGCCUGAAUCAGUGUGUGUGUUAGUGGAAGCGUCUGGAAAGGCGCGCGAUACAGGGUGACAGCCCCGUACACAAAAAUGCACAUGCUGUGAGCUCGAUGAGUAGGGCGGGACACGUGGUAUCCUGUCUGAAUAUGGGGGGACCAUCCUCCAAGGCUAAAUACUCCUGACUGACCGAUAGUGAACCAGUACCGCGAGGGAAAGGCGAAAAGAACCCCGGCGAGGGGAGUGAAAAAGAACCUGAAACCGUGUACGUACAAGCAGUGGGAGCACGCUUAGGCGUGUGACUGCGUACCUUUUGUAUAAUGGGUCAGCGACUUAUAUUCUGUAGCAAGGUUAACCGAAUAGGGGAGCCGAAGGGAAACCGAGUCUUAACUGGGCGUUAAGUUGCAGGGUAUAGACCCGAAACCCGGUGAUCUAGCCAUGGGCAGGUUGAAGGUUGGGUAACACUAACUGGAGGACCGAACCGACUAAUGUUGAAAAAUUAGCGGAUGACUUGUGGCUGGGGGUGAAAGGCCAAUCAAACCGGGAGAUAGCUGGUUCUCCCCGAAAGCUAUUUAGGUAGCGCCUCGUGAAUUCAUCUCCGGGGGUAGAGCACUGUUUCGGCAAGGGGGUCAUCCCGACUUACCAACCCGAUGCAAACUGCGAAUACCGGAGAAUGUUAUCACGGGAGACACACGGCGGGUGCUAACGUCCGUCGUGAAGAGGGAAACAACCCAGACCGCCAGCUAAGGUCCCAAAGUCAUGGUUAAGUGGGAAACGAUGUGGGAAGGCCCAGACAGCCAGGAUGUUGGCUUAGAAGCAGCCAUCAUUUAAAGAAAGCGUAAUAGCUCACUGGUCGAGUCGGCCUGCGCGGAAGAUGUAACGGGGCUAAACCAUGCACCGAAGCUGCGGCAGCGACACUAUGUGUUGUUGGGUAGGGGAGCGUUCUGUAAGCCUGUGAAGGUGUACUGUGAGGUAUGCUGGAGGUAUCAGAAGUGCGAAUGCUGACAUAAGUAACGAUAAAGCGGGUGAAAAGCCCGCUCGCCGGAAGACCAAGGGUUCCUGUCCAACGUUAAUCGGGGCAGGGUGAGUCGACCCCUAAGGCGAGGCCGAAAGGCGUAGUCGAUGGGAAACAGGUUAAUAUUCCUGUACUUGGUGUUACUGCGAAGGGGGGACGGAGAAGGCUAUGUUGGCCGGGCGACGGUUGUCCCGGUUUAAGCGUGUAGGCUGGUUUUCCAGGCAAAUCCGGAAAAUCAAGGCUGAGGCGUGAUGACGAGGCACUACGGUGCUGAAGCAACAAAUGCCCUGCUUCCAGGAAAAGCCUCUAAGCAUCAGGUAACAUCAAAUCGUACCCCAAACCGACACAGGUGGUCAGGUAGAGAAUACCAAGGCGCUUGAGAGAACUCGGGUGAAGGAACUAGGCAAAAUGGUGCCGUAACUUCGGGAGAAGGCACGCUGAUAUGUAGGUGAGGUCCCUCGCGGAUGGAGCUGAAAUCAGUCGAAGAUACCAGCUGGCUGCAACUGUUUAUUAAAAACACAGCACUGUGCAAACACGAAAGUGGACGUAUACGGUGUGACGCCUGCCCGGUGCCGGAAGGUUAAUUGAUGGGGUUAGCGCAAGCGAAGCUCUUGAUCGAAGCCCCGGUAAACGGCGGCCGUAACUAUAACGGUCCUAAGGUAGCGAAAUUCCUUGUCGGGUAAGUUCCGACCUGCACGAAUGGCGUAAUGAUGGCCAGGCUGUCUCCACCCGAGACUCAGUGAAAUUGAACUCGCUGUGAAGAUGCAGUGUACCCGCGGCAAGACGGAAAGACCCCGUGAACCUUUACUAUAGCUUGACACUGAACAUUGAGCCUUGAUGUGUAGGAUAGGUGGGAGGCUUAGAAGUGUGGACGCCAGUCUGCAUGGAGCCGACCUUGAAAUACCACCCUUUAAUGUUUGAUGUUCUAACGUUGACCCGUAAUCCGGGUUGCGGACAGUGUCUGGUGGGUAGUUUGACUGGGGCGGUCUCCUCCUAAAGAGUAACGGAGGAGCACGAAGGUUGGCUAAUCCUGGUCGGACAUCAGGAGGUUAGUGCAAUGGCAUAAGCCAGCUUGACUGCGAGCGUGACGGCGCGAGCAGGUGCGAAAGCAGGUCAUAGUGAUCCGGUGGUUCUGAAUGGAAGGGCCAUCGCUCAACGGAUAAAAGGUACUCCGGGGAUAACAGGCUGAUACCGCCCAAGAGUUCAUAUCGACGGCGGUGUUUGGCACCUCGAUGUCGGCUCAUCACAUCCUGGGGCUGAAGUAGGUCCCAAGGGUAUGGCUGUUCGCCAUUUAAAGUGGUACGCGAGCUGGGUUUAGAACGUCGUGAGACAGUUCGGUCCCUAUCUGCCGUGGGCGCUGGAGAACUGAGGGGGGCUGCUCCUAGUACGAGAGGACCGGAGUGGACGCAUCACUGGUGUUCGGGUUGUCAUGCCAAUGGCACUGCCCGGUAGCUAAAUGCGGAAGAGAUAAGUGCUGAAAGCAUCUAAGCACGAAACUUGCCCCGAGAUGAGUUCUCCCUGACUCCUUGAGAGUCCUGAAGGAACGUUGAAGACGACGACGUUGAUAGGCCGGGUGUGUAAGCGCAGCGAUGCGUUGAGCUAACCGGUACUAAUGAACCGUGAGGCUUAACCUU
RNAcentral lists this ribosomal RNA (2901 nucleotides) under Escherichia coli DEC6B. Its description in RNAcentral is "bacterial LSU rRNA". It matches the Rfam family "Bacterial large subunit ribosomal RNA". The record is from RNAcentral. Lineage: Bacteria; Pseudomonadati; Pseudomonadota; Gammaproteobacteria; Enterobacterales; Enterobacteriaceae.